Molecule: ribosomal RNA, 372 nt
Filed under: uncultured organism
Description: partial 16S ribosomal RNA
Rfam family: Bacterial small subunit ribosomal RNA
Source: RNAcentral
GUAGGUGGCAAGCGUUGUCCGGAAUUAUUGGGCGUAAAGCGCGCGCAGGCGGUUCUUUAAGUCUGAUGUGAAAGCCCACGGCUCAACCGUGGAGGGUCAUUGGAAACUGGAGAACUUGAGUACAGAAGAGGAAAGCGGAAUUCCACGUGUAGCGGUGAAAUGCGUAGAGAUGUGGAGGAACACCAGUGGCGAAGGCGGCUUUCUGGUCUGUAACUGACGCUGAGGCGCGAAAGCGUGGGGAGCAAACAGGAUUAGAUACCCUGGUAGUCCACGCCGUAAACGAUGAGUGCUAAGUGUUAGGGGGGUUUCCGCCCCCCUUAGUGCUGCAGCUAACGCAUUAAGCACUCCGCCUGGAGUACGGCCGCAAGGCUG